AUUGAACGCUGGCGGCUGCUUUACACAUGCAAGUCGGACGGCAGCACAGAGAAGCUUGCUUCUUGGGUGGCGAGUGGCGAACGGGUGAGUAACAUAUCGGAACGUACCGAGUAAUGGGGGAUAACUAAUCGAAAGAUUAGCUAAUACCGCAUAUUCUCUGAGGAGGAAAGCAGGGGACCUUCGGGCCUUGCGUUAUUCGAGCGGCCGAUAUCUGAUUAGCUAGUUGGUGGGGUAAAGGCCUACCAAGGCGACGAUCAGUAGCGGGUCUGAGAGGAUGAUCCGCCACACUGGGACUGAGACACGGCCCAGACUCCUACGGGAGGCAGCAGUGGGGAAUUUUGGACAAUGGGCGCAAGCCUGAUCCAGCCAUGCCGCGUGUCUGAAGAAGGCCUUCGGGUUGUAAAGGACUUUUGUCAGGGAAGAAAAGGCUGUCGCUAAUACCGACAGUUGAUGACGGUACCUGAAGAAUAAGCACCGGCUAACUACGCGCCAGCAGCCGCGGUAAUACGUAGGGUGCAAGCGUUAAUCGGAAUUACUGGGCGUAAAGCGAGCGCAGACGGUUACUUAAGCAGGAUGUGAAAUCCCCGGGCUCAACCUGGGAACUGCGUUCUGAACUGGGUGACUAGAGUGUGUCAGAGGGAGGUAGAAUUCCACGUGUAGCAGUGAAAUGCGUAGAGAUGUGGAGGAAUACCGAUGGCGAAGGCAGCCUCCUGGGAUAACACUGACGUUCAUGCUCGAAAGCGUAGGUAGCAAACAGGAUUAGAUACCCUGGUAGUCCACGCCCUAAACGAUGUCAAUUAGCUGUUGGGCAACUUGAUUGCUUAGUAGCGUAGCUAACGCGUGA
Molecule: ribosomal RNA, 844 nt
Filed under: uncultured Neisseria sp.
Lineage: Bacteria; Pseudomonadati; Pseudomonadota; Betaproteobacteria; Neisseriales; Neisseriaceae
Description: bacterial SSU rRNA
Rfam family: Bacterial small subunit ribosomal RNA
Source: RNAcentral